GUGGGGAAUCUUGCGCAAUGGGGGAAACCCUGACGCAGCGACGCCGCGUGCGGGAUGAAGGCCUUCGGGUUGUAAACCGCUUUCAGCAGGGACGAAAUUGACGGUACCUGCAGAAGAAGGCCCGGCCAACUACGUGCCAGCAGCCGCGGUAAUACGUAGGGGCCUAGCGUUGUCCGGAUUUAUUGGGCGUAAAGAGCUCGUAGGCGGUUCGGCAAGUCGGAUGUGAAAUCUCCACGCUUAACGUGGAGGGGCCAUUCGAAACUGCCGUGACUCGAGUCCGGUAGGGGAGUGUGGAAUUCCCGGUGUAGCGGUGAAAUGCGCAGAUAUCGGGAGGAACACCAGUAGCGAAGGCGGCACUCUGGGCCGGUACUGACGCUGAGGAGCGAAAGCGUGGGGAGCGAACAGGAUUAGAUACCCGAGUAGUCC
This 426-nucleotide ribosomal RNA is filed under the name uncultured bacterium. Its description in RNAcentral is "bacterial SSU rRNA". It matches the Rfam family "Bacterial small subunit ribosomal RNA", at positions 354 to 796 of the family's 1533-position model. The record is from RNAcentral.